Long non-coding RNA from Chenopodium quinoa (quinoa), 702 nucleotides. RefSeq lists it as uncharacterized. The transcript is spliced from 5 exons. The record is from RefSeq and is a predicted model, not a curated record. Lineage: Eukaryota; Viridiplantae; Streptophyta; Magnoliopsida; Caryophyllales; Amaranthaceae.
AUUACAUUUAAAUAUAGCUUUUUGCCAAAAAAAGAAGUGUAACACUUAUUAAAAUACGGCCACAUUUAGUAAGUGUAACACUUAUCAAACACGGAGGGAGCACAUCUUAUCAUGUGUUGUCUUUUUUGUAGGGCUGGAUAUACGAGAUCAAAUUUCAUCUGCAUUGUGUAUGUACUUUAAAUGUUAUAUUUUUAAUUAUUUGCAUAGAUAUCUUCUAAUAUACCACCAAGAUGCCUUCUUUAGAAUAUUGCAGCAUUCUUGGGGCUCUCCAAUGAGUGAAUUAUGUUUACUUUCAGGAAGAACUUGAAAAGGAGGGGAUAUGGGACUUUGACGGUUAAGUUGUCCAUACAUUCGACAAGAGUUUUUAUAGGAGUAAUUUGGCUCUUCUUGGACGGUUUUCCUAAACGAAUGUCAAAAGGGGCAUUUUGAGAAAAUUAGUUGUUGACCUUUUUCUUGGAAGCGGGCCUAAUGCAAAGCUUAAGAAAGGUGAAUUUAUGGAAGCUGCUAAAAUCAGACUUCGAAAGGAGCCCAGUAAUAUUGAAUUUCAGAAGGUCACAACUGAAUUAUGUGUAUCAAAGGGAGGGGCUUGGGUGCUAAAAAGUGGCGAUGGAGUACCUAGAUGACUGUCAACUUAUUUUGAAGACGAUGUAGUUGUAGAGGAUGCAAGAAUACCAGUUUUGUCGCUGCUGAUAUUGUCCAGCA